RNAcentral lists this ribosomal RNA (640 nucleotides) under Exiguobacterium sp. RNAcentral describes it as "bacterial SSU rRNA". It matches the Rfam family "Bacterial small subunit ribosomal RNA", at positions 56 to 681 of the family's 1533-position model. Lineage: Bacteria; Bacillati; Bacillota; Bacilli; Caryophanales. The record is from RNAcentral.
AGGAAGUCGACGGAACCCUUCGGGGGGAAGUCGACGGAAUGAGCGGCGGACGGGUGAGUAACACGUAAAGAACCUGCCCUCAGGUCUGGGAUAACCACGAGAAAUCGGGGCUAAUACCGGAUGGGUCAUCGGACCGCAUGGUCCGAGGAUGAAAGGCGCUCCGGCGUCGCCUGGGGAUGGCUUUGCGGUGCAUUAGCUAGUUGGUGGGGUAAUGGCCCACCAAGGCGACGAUGCAUAGCCGACCUGAGAGGGUGAUCGGCCACACUGGGACUGAGACACGGCCCAGACUCCUACGGGAGGCAGCAGUAGGGAAUCUUCCACAAUGGACGAAAGUCUGAUGGAGCAACGCCGCGUGAACGAUGAAGGCCUUCGGGUCGUAAAGUUCUGUUGUAAGGGAAGAACAAGUGCCGCAGGCAAUGGCGGCACCUUGACGGUACCUUGCGAGAAAGCCACGGCUAACUACGUGCCAGCAGCCGCGGUAAUACGUAGGUGGCAAGCGUUGUCCGGAAUUAUUGGGCGUAAAGCGCGCGCAGGCGGCCUCUUAAGUCUGAUGUGAAAGCCCCCGGCUCAACCGGGGAGGGCCAUUGGAAACUGGGAGGCUUGAGUAUAGGAGAGAAGAGUGGAAUUCCACGUGUAGCGG